CUCCGUGGCUGCCUGCUGCCCUUGUGCAAGGGGACAAAGGCUGCUGACAGGUGCUGCUUCCCAGGGCCAGCGGGAGGCUCCCACCGUGGGUCCUGAGGCCAGACAAGCGGCCCUGACUCAGAACCCUCUGCUCUGGCAUGACCCUCUCAAGGAGACUGAAGGUCCCAGCUCCACCGAGCCAGUCUUCAGGACCAGUCCCGGGGCAGGAGACCGAGUUCUGUGCAGAGGGUCCGGCCAGAGAACCAGGCUGUGGGAGCCCAGACCGCCCCCAGUUAGCCACCAUCUAGGCCCGGGUAAGCUGGAGCCCGGGGGCUCAGGAAGGCUGCUCCACCGGCUGACAGGACCGGCUUGCGUGUCUCCACUUGUGAGGAGGACAGAAGAAGGCAUCGCUCAGUUCGGAAACUGAGUUUUGUCGGGCGGUCAGAACAAAGUAGCAGAGGCUGAGCCGCUAACACAACACCCAUCCGUCUUCCCACAGUUCUGGAGACCAGAAGUCAGAGGUGAAGGCCGCCUCCCUCCACAGGAGGCAGGAAGAGUCGGUCCAGGGCCUCCCCCGCAGCUCCCGGUGGUUCCUUGACCGGGUAGCAGAGCUCCCAACUGCGUUCGUGGCUUGUCGGACUUUCCCCUUUCGUGAGGAUACUGGUAAUGUUGGACCAGACCCCCCAGUGACUUGUCUCCGCGGGCCCAUCUGUAAAGUCCCGCUCUCUAAACGAGGUCGUGACCUGAGGUAGCAGAGUUUAGGACUUCAACAAACGCGUUCUGUGGGAACAAAACUCAACCCACUAAACAGGGGAAGGUGAGCCUGUGUCAGUAAAAGGUGUGAGUCGCAGACUUUUGUAAAAGAAAUGCAGAUAAGGGGUGCCUGGGGGGGCUCCGUUGGUGAAGCAUCUGCCUUCGGCUCAGGUCAUGAUCUCGGGGUCCUGGGAUCGAGCCCCAUGUCCGGCCCCUGUUCAGCGAGGAGUCUGCUUCUCCCUCUCCAUCUGCCCACACCCCUGCUUGUGUGCUCUCUCUCUCUCUCUCAAAUAAAUACAUACAUACAUACAUAAAUACAUACAUACAUAAAUAAAUAGAUAAAUAAAUAAAUAAAUAAAUAAAAUCUUUUUUAAAAUGUGAAUAAGUACACCAGGGAUGAAUAAGCUUUCAUAUUCAUUCAGGAGGUUCACCAAAAUCAGCAUGUUGUACAGAAACGCAGUGUGUGCGCCUGAGGCCCCACACCCACCUACUGGUGCGCCUGGUGAAGGCAGGACAGAUUUACCUCACUCUGACUCCGACAGAUUCACUCACAGACUUG
Molecule: long non-coding RNA, 1291 nt
Filed under: Canis lupus familiaris (dog)
Lineage: Eukaryota; Metazoa; Chordata; Mammalia; Carnivora; Canidae
Description: lncRNA (ENSCAFG00845013760.1)
Source: RNAcentral